This is a long non-coding RNA of Candoia aspera, 289 nucleotides long. RefSeq lists it as uncharacterized. NCBI's taxonomy places the organism in Eukaryota, Metazoa, Chordata, Lepidosauria, Squamata, Candoiidae. The transcript has 2 exons. The record is from RefSeq and is a predicted model, not a curated record.
AAUGGAACCUCACCUAGAAGCUACACAUAUCCUUCUAUCCAAGCUACUUCUCCAGUGAAUCCAGUCUGAAACCUGGAAAACCCCUCAAGUAGACUUCAGGAUUGCACAGCAGCAGCAGCCUAAGCCGAGGAGGAGAGACCACUUAUUUAAUGUGCUGCUGACUGGUGCAACUGGCAUGCUCUGAAUCAUCACUUCCCAUCUGAAUCUGAAUCCCCACAGAGCCCUAAUAAGAUCAUCACCUUUUUAGAAAGAUACGGUUUUGUUAAGAAAAAUUAAGACUGAGCCAAAA